GAUGAACGCUGGCGGCGUGCUUAACACAUGCAAGUCGAACGAAAAGGCCCUGCUUUUGCUGGGUUCACGAUUGGCGAACGGGUGAGUAACACGCGAGUAAACCGCCCUUGACUUUCGGAUAACUUCAGGAAACUGGGGCUAAUACCCGGUAGAAGCUCCUGCUGCAUGGUGGGGGUUGGAAAGUUUCGGCGGUUGGGGAUGGACUCGCGGCUUAUCAGCUUGUUGGUGGGGUAGUGGCUUACCAAGGCUUUGACGGGUAGCCGGCCUGAGAGGGUGACCGGCCACAUUGGGACUGAGAUACGGCCCAGACUCCUACGGGAGGCAGCAGUGGGGAAUAUUGCACAAUGGGCGGAAGCCUGAUGCAGCAACGCCGCGUGCGGGAUGACGGCCUUCGGGUUGUAAACCGCUUUCGCCUGUGACGAAGCGUGAGUGACGGUAAUGGGUAAAGAAGCACCGGCUAACUACGUG
RNAcentral lists this ribosomal RNA (468 nucleotides) under uncultured bacterium. RNAcentral describes it as "partial 16S ribosomal RNA". It matches the Rfam family "Bacterial small subunit ribosomal RNA", at positions 28 to 507 of the family's 1533-position model. The record is from RNAcentral.